Molecule: ribosomal RNA, 446 nt
Filed under: uncultured bacterium
Lineage: Bacteria
Description: bacterial SSU rRNA
Rfam family: Bacterial small subunit ribosomal RNA
Source: RNAcentral
CCAGACUCCUACGGGAGGCAGCAGUGGGGAAUAUUGGACAAUGGGGGAAACCCUUAUCCAGCGACGCCGCGUGAGGGAAGAAGGUUUUCGGAUUGUAAACCUCUGUCAGUGGGGACGAUAAUGACGGUACCCACGGAGGAAGCCACGGCUAACUACGUGCCAGCAGCCGCGGUAAUACGUAGGGGGCGAGCGUUAUCCGGAUUUACUGGGUGUAAAGGGAGCGUAGACGGUUCUGCAAGUCUGAAGUGAAAGCCCGUGGCUUAACCGCGGAACGGCUUUGGAAACUGUGGAACUGGAGUGCUGGAGAGGCAAGCGGAAUUCCUAGUGUAGCGGUGAAAUGCGUAGAUAUUAGGAGGAACACCAGUGGCGAAGGCGGCUUGCUGGACAGUAACUGACGUUGAGGCUCGAAAGCGUGGGGAGCAAACAGGAUUAGAUACCCGAGUAAU